Molecule: ribosomal RNA, 320 nt
Filed under: uncultured eukaryote
Lineage: Eukaryota
Description: partial 18S ribosomal RNA
Rfam family: Eukaryotic small subunit ribosomal RNA
Source: RNAcentral
CCCCUCGAUGUUCUGGGCCGCACGCGCGCUACACUGAACAGUUCAACAAGUCUUAACCUUGGCCGAUAGGUCUGGGUAAUCUUUGAACGCUGUUCGUGAUUGGGAUAGACCUUUGCAAUUAUGGGUCUUCAACGAGGAAUUCCUAGUAAACGCAAGUCAUCAGCUUGCAUUGAUUACGUCCCUGCCCUUUGUACACACCGCCCGUCGCACCUACCGAUUGAAUGGUCCGGUGAAAUCUCGGGACGGCGGCUUGGUCGCUUGCGUCCGACUGCUGAAACUUGAUUAAACCAUAUCAUUUAGAGGAAGGUGAANUCGUAACA